AUAUGAAGUACAUUCAGAGAAAAGACUCCAGAAUGGUGUGAGAAAAAAACUAUAGAGGCAAGUCCAGAAAACUGAAACCCUAUGACCAAAGGAGACCGAGAAGGACACAAUCACCAACUGUACAUACCUGAAGGGUUGUCAUGGAGAGUGUCAAAGAAGCAAAUGGAAGCUCAGAGAAACAUGGCAGCUCUGGACUGUGCUUCACCCAGUUCCUACCACCUCCCCAGGGCCCGUGCACGACUAGAAAAUGGAGACCAGGAGGGGCAUGUCCUGCCCUGCAUCUCCUGAGCCACUGGGGAAAAGGGACUGGAGCUCCAGCCUCCUGGCUCCUCUUCUGAUGCACACUCCAAGGCAUCCGGCUGUUUCCUUCUCCAACAAAGCCAGCCCCUUGCAAACCUCUUCCCAUGGCAAUGUGCCAUGAGUCGCUAAUACUUAUGACAACACUGCAUAGGAAUUGAGUGUAUUUGAUUUUCCUUAUGAAGAGAUGCAUAAAAAAGAUCAAAGCAUUUACAAUUUGAUGAUGUUCCUAAAUGCAAGUUCAAAUUGCUGAGUUAAACAGCCAGCAAUUUUUUUAGAGGGCUUUCCAGAGCAAUUAU
Molecule: long non-coding RNA, 596 nt
Organism: Cynocephalus volans (Philippine flying lemur)
Lineage: Eukaryota; Metazoa; Chordata; Mammalia; Dermoptera; Cynocephalidae
Exons: 3
Source: RefSeq, a predicted model, not a curated record